Long non-coding RNA from Zophobas morio, 657 nucleotides. RefSeq lists it as uncharacterized. The transcript has 2 exons. NCBI's taxonomy places the organism in Eukaryota, Metazoa, Arthropoda, Insecta, Coleoptera, Tenebrionidae. The record is from RefSeq and is a predicted model, not a curated record.
GUUCCAAACCUUAUUUAUUUAUAAAUUCAUUUGUCUGAUUCGAUGAUCAGUUAUAAGUUAUAACUUGUAAUACAGUUAACUUAAAAUUGUAAAAUUCUCGAUUCUAUAGUGAACGAGAAGUUAUUAUUUUAACUGGCAUAUAAUUGUAGAUACCAUAACACAAGGUAUGGCGGAAGCUAUAAACCUAAUGCCGUGUGUGGAUCAUCAACACAACACGUCAAAAAGAGCAAUUCACAUCUUUGAACAAAGAUGUUUGCCAGAAUUUGUUGUGGACAGGGUAGAGGCCGAUAAAUGUCCGGGAAAUAUGCCGUGCCGCUGGAGUCUCUUCUAUAAAUAUAGAAAUCCAGAUCAACAAUAUGAAGGGGGAGAUUGUGCAAAACGCAUUACCUGAAGGCACCAAUAUUAUGAAGCCAUCAAUAACACUUACAAUGGUCAUUAAUGAUGGCUCUUGCUACAAAAUAUGUUAUGGCGUAAUUUGCGACUGCAUAUAUGAUGAUAUCCCGUUUUUUGACGUUAAUGACGACGGUUUAUGUCAUGUUGGUGAAAGCUUUUCAUACUAAUGUAUUUGGACAUAGAGAAACUAAAUGAUCAAAAACAGUAAAAAAAUUGUAAUUAUGCUUUGUUAAUCAAUUUUUUAAAUUUUGUACUUAAUAACUA